This is a long non-coding RNA of Phymastichus coffea, 1763 nucleotides long. RefSeq lists it as uncharacterized. Lineage: Eukaryota; Metazoa; Arthropoda; Insecta; Hymenoptera; Eulophidae. The record is from RefSeq and is a predicted model, not a curated record. The transcript is spliced from 3 exons.
CGCGACUAGUCGAUCAUAUCCACAUCUAAGGGACACUGGCCUCAGCAGGUUCGUUGAGCUUUUAUUCUUACUGUUGCUGCUGCUGCUAUAGCUUGGGACAUCACUUUCUGCGUUAUAUCAAGAGGUCAAAAGUGCAGCAGUUGAAAGUUCUCAGAGAGAUGUGUCGCCGUGGCAGCUCUCGUAAAUUAAUUGACAAGGGGAGGAGGGAGCACUGCUACUAAUUCCUCAGGACUAUUUCAGUCGAUGUGAGUCAACGACACACUCAAAUGAGGCCUAAUAAUCGGGACGAUUUAACACACUAGUGAACAUUUCGACUGGCGGAUAAUCCGAUGACGAUGGCAAAGCGGCAAGGAUCAAAGAGAAGUAUAAUCCGGCGCUCGAAAAUGGCAUUAAAAAGGAGAGAGGGAGAGAGAGAGAGAGAAAAAAAAACGUCGUCGUUGCAGAGGGAUAUAUGGAUCAUUCGAGUAUGCAGGCAGCUGCGGCGGAAAAGGGAGAAAGAGAGAUUCCUAUAAUACCACACAUCGCAUUACUCGCGCUCGAUUGAAUCCCCUCGCCGGCACUGCUGCAAAGAAGAAUGAUACUCGGGUGUGCAGAUGCGCGGAUAAUUGUUUGGGUGCUUUUCGCAUUGUCGCUGCGCGGGCUCUCAUAUUGAGAUGUCGAGCGACGUCGUCUUCUCUCGUUGACUUUGUUUUCGAGGCUGGUUAUUCGCGGUCGAUCGCAUACUCGUCGGGGCUCGUUCUCGGGUGCGCCGCGGCGUUUCGCUGCUCUCGCGAGGCGCACACACCAGCGGGCGAGCGAUUAGAAAAGAAAGCCCGCUACUUGGCGCUUAGCGAACUUUUAAUCUUGGAAUGGAGCCGCGGGCGAGCUUCCAAAAAUUCUUCCUACGGCUGGGUAGGAAAGACCGACGACCUUCGUCGACGCGCGCGCAAAAGAGAGAUUUAUAGCUUGUGCCCGUGCUAUUGAUAAACGUACAUAACGAUCGCCAACGAAAAAAAAAACGGAUACCUCACUUUUCAUAAUCGACGAGGAUCCGGGAAUGACAGUUGGUCGAUGAACGUCAUGGUUUUUUUCCUGUUUUAUCUUCCAGUUUCCAAUGGACUUUAUUAAGUAAUAUCGAUAAAAUCUUUUGAUUAAAAAUCAACUGAUCGCUGGUAAAAUCGGCUGGAACUUCUUAGUUAUACAGACGAUUCGUGUGUAACAUUUAGGAAAUGUCGCAUUUCAUCGAACGCGAAAUUCAGUGCAAUAUUCGAUGUAUAUAUCUUGCGGGGUAUUUGUUUUAUCCCAAAGAAAUUUUUCCGAACGUUGUUGCAUUUCUUGAAAAAAACCUCUCAAAUCUAGACAAUUUUUCUAACCGUACUGUUGGACGAUUCAAGAGAAAAUAUUUAUGAUCGUUCGUGUAACUUAUAAGAUAUAAGACUAUCUGAAAUAACAUUUCAUUUGAUAACGUUUCAUUUUAAACAUGCACAUUUACCCUUUACAAUGAAUGCCAGCACGAUCAAUUUGAUUGGAUCUAACCCCAGCUAUCAAAUUUUGAAGUAAACCAUCUUUUCUCGAUGUAUAAAAUUUAGCAUAUUUCUUAAACGACACUAUGAAAAUAAAGUAUUUUAGAAGAUUUUAACAACGCGCGAGACUGAAAAAUAAAUUUCGCACUCAAUAUUUAUUAUAAAGGAAUGUAAUUUUCCUACGAUAAAUUGUAUGGUAAUCUCUUAUUUGUGAAUGAAUAUUAAAAAUUAAUCUAGAACUGAUAUAAUGGAUGUAACUAC